This 804-nucleotide ribosomal RNA is filed under the name uncultured Sphingobium sp. Its description in RNAcentral is "bacterial SSU rRNA". It matches the Rfam family "Bacterial small subunit ribosomal RNA", at positions 56 to 908 of the family's 1533-position model. The record is from RNAcentral. Lineage: Bacteria; Pseudomonadati; Pseudomonadota; Alphaproteobacteria; Sphingomonadales; Sphingobiaceae.
UGCAAGUCGAACGAGAUCUUCGGAUCUAGUGGCGCACGGGUGCGUAACGCGUGGGAAUCUGCCCUUGGGUUCGGAAUAACGUCGGGAAACUGACGCUAAUACCGGAUGAUGACGAAAGUCCAAAGAUUUAUCGCCCAGGGAUGAGCCCGCGUAGGAUUAGCUAGUUGGUGAGGUAAAGGCUCACCAAGGCUACGAUCCUUAGCUGGUCUGAGAGGAUGAUCAGCCACACUGGGACUGAGACACGGCCCAGACUCCUACGGGAGGCAGCAGUAGGGAAUAUUGGACAAUGGGGGCAACCCUGAUCCAGCAAUGCCGCGUGAGUGAUGAAGGCCUUAGGGUUGUAGAGCUCUUUUACCCGAGAUGAUAAUGACAGUAUCGGGAGAAUAAGCUCCGGCUAACUCCGUGCCAGCAGCCGCGGUAAUACGGAGGGAGCUAGCGUUGUUCGGAAUUACUGGGCGUAAAGCGCACGUAGGCGGCGAUUUAAGUCAGAGGUGAAAGCCCGGGGCUCAACCCCGGAACUGCCUUUGAGACUGGACUGCUUGAAUCCUGGAGAGGUGAGUGGAAUUCCGAGUGUAGAGGUGAAAUUCGUAGAUAUUCGGAAGAACACCAGUGGCGAAGGCGGCUCACUGGACAGGUAUUGACGCUGAGGUGCGAAAGCGUGGGGAGAAACAGGAUUAGAUACCCUGGUAGUCCACGCCGUAAACGAUGAUAACUAGCUGCCGGGGCACAUGGUGUUUCGGUGGCGCAGCUAACGCAUUAAGUUAUCCGCCUGGGGAGUACGGUCGCAGAUUAAAACUCAAAGGA